GACGACCGCUGGCGGCGUGCUUAACACAUGCAAGUCGAACGGAAAGGCCCUGCUUUUGUGGGGUGCUCGAGUGGCGAACGGGUGAGUAACACGUGAGUAACCUGCCCUUGACUUUGGGAUAACUUCAGGAAACUGGGGCUAAUACCGGAUAGGAGCUCCUGCUGCAUGGUGGGGGUUGGAAAGUUUCGGCGGUUGGGGAUGGACUCGCGGCUUAUCAGCUUGUUGGUGGGGUAGUGGCUUACCAAGGCUUUGACGGGUAGCCGGCCUGAGAGGGUGACCGGCCACAUUGGGACUGAGAUACGGCCCAGACUCCUACGCGAGGCAGCAGUGGGGAAUAUUGCACAAUGGGCGGAAGCCUGAUGCAGCAACGCCGCGUGCGGGGUGACGGCCUGCGGGUGGUAAACCGCUUUCGCCUGUGACGAAGCGUGCGUGACGGUAAUGGGUAAAGAAGCACCGGCUAACUACGUG
RNAcentral lists this ribosomal RNA (468 nucleotides) under uncultured bacterium. RNAcentral's name for it is "partial 16S ribosomal RNA". It matches the Rfam family "Bacterial small subunit ribosomal RNA", at positions 28 to 507 of the family's 1533-position model. The record is from RNAcentral.